This is a long non-coding RNA of Mesocricetus auratus (golden hamster), 962 nucleotides long. RefSeq lists it as uncharacterized. The record is from RefSeq and is a predicted model, not a curated record. NCBI's taxonomy places the organism in Eukaryota, Metazoa, Chordata, Mammalia, Rodentia, Cricetidae. The transcript has 2 exons.
UGUUUAUUUGGAAGCUGGACGGAUGUACCCCCAAGAGCAAAGAGUCAAAAGAGUAAGGAGCAAAGAGUAACCAACUACAGGAUACUGUCCUGUGCAGGCAGUGUGGGUGUGUUGUUGAGUGGAAAUAUUCUGUUCCAAUUUCUGAGAGGAAUGGCCAAAGGAAAACAAAACAGAAAACACGGCACACACCCACAAGUAAGAUGAUUUAGUGCCAGCCCAAGUAUUCAUGCACCAACCCAGCCUCUGGAAUGGGGUGGAGGGACCCAGCAUGUGUUUCUUCCCCAGGGAUCGUGGCUGAGGGAGUCUACGUGACACAUUGCCCGAGCUGAAGGGAGAAGAUGCUGAUGACUGGCCACUGACAAUCAUGGUCGGGAUUUGAUAAAACCUCUUCAUGGGCGUAUCCCUCUGUAUGUGGUGGAACGAAGGAGGAGUUCUGAAGCUAGACCAGGUGAAGCUCUCGGCAAGACUGUAGAGUGUCUGUGCGACCAUGAACAAGGUGUUCCAUACCCAGCAUCUCCAUUUGUGAAGCAGAGAGGCACAAUGGACUCCUGUACCCCAGGCCCAAUUAAGCUUCAACUACAGUGUGUACCAUGGGCAGGUCCAGAGCCGCUGCUUCACAUUUGGUGGAAGACACAGGAUCAGAGUUUGUAAAGCCCAGAGGGCCAGGAGAUGGGAUUGGAGCCCGAGCCCCCUGGCUGACUGGGCCUCCUCCCCUCUGCAAGCCUACAUCCCUGCAGGAUAAGAAGAGCAGGAUGCUCAGUCCUGGGUCUGUUGCAGGCUCGCGGUUAUGUGUGCUAGCCCCACACUUUCUGCGCUAGAGCCUCCGCGUACAGAUGUGCUGUUUCUCCUCAGUAUGUGUUUCUUCCACACCCACAUCCCAGAAUAUUUUCCCGGGUUAAUAUGUCUGGCUAAGGAGGUUUGUGGCGAAAGACACCAAACAGGAAAUGAAAUGGCUGCCAUAA